UACGUAGGGGGCUAGCGUUGUCCGGAAUCAUUGGGCGUAAAGCGCGUGUAGGCGGUCCGGUAAGUCCGCUGUGAAAGUCGGGGGCUCAACCCUCGGAUGCCGGUGGAUACUGUCGGGCUUGAGUACGGAAGAGGCGAGUGGAAUUCCUGGUGUAGCGGUGAAAUGCGCAGAUAUCGUAAGGAAGACCAGUGGCGAAGGCGGGUCUCUGGACAGUUCCUGACACUGAGACACGAAGGCCAGGGGAGCAAACGGG
Molecule: ribosomal RNA, 253 nt
Filed under: uncultured bacterium
Lineage: Bacteria
Description: partial 16S ribosomal RNA
Rfam family: Bacterial small subunit ribosomal RNA
Source: RNAcentral